UAGCUCUUUAGUACUAAGACCCGGCAAAGUCAGCAUCUCCUUCCUUUACUGGAAGGUCAUGAGUUAUAUAAGCCAUUAUUCCUGUUAGAGUUGGUAAUCGAGAUCUGAACCCAGUAAUAAGGUGGGCUAGUCGAGUCAGGAAUGAAGGUAGGAAUCGAAUCCCACGUCGUCAAGAGAAAGCCAAUCAGAGCGAAUAGAGGCCGAUCAAGGGCUCGGACAGUGCUUGUGUACUGGCGGGUAAGUCCAGUCCACCAUCAAGGGAAGCUGCGUAGCGAGCAGCUUUUAGGGAUGCAGGCCCAGAAGCCAAUGAGUUUACGUCAAGCCGAGGCCGCUACGGAUCCAUCGCAAGUAGGUCCAACGUUCAAGAACGGGUCUUUCGGAGAGCGACAUUGGGUAAGGAAAAGCUGCUUUCAAAUCUGAUUCUAUCACAAUUCGUUAAGUCAACUCCGAACACCUUCUAUAGCCUUUGUCCUGCUCAAGCGAGGGCGUAUUCUGACUUGCUUUCCACCACCGUCAUUGAAUUGGGCUUUCCGGAUCCCCUUUCUUCGGGCCUUCCUUUCAGAGAUACCUAUUCAAAAAGCAGAAAUGCGAUGCCUGUUGUCAAACUUG
This 609-nucleotide unclassified non-coding RNA is filed under the name Hevea brasiliensis (rubber tree). The record is from RNAcentral. Lineage: Eukaryota; Viridiplantae; Streptophyta; Magnoliopsida; Malpighiales; Euphorbiaceae.